Molecule: ribosomal RNA, 1104 nt
Filed under: human gut metagenome
Description: bacterial SSU rRNA
Rfam family: Bacterial small subunit ribosomal RNA
Source: RNAcentral
CUUCGGAUCGUAAAGCUCUGUUGUAAGAGAAAAACGGCACUCAUAGGGAAUGAUGAGUGAGUGAUGGUAUCUUACCAGAAAGUCACGGCUAACUACGUGCCAGCAGCCGCGGUAAUACGUAGGUGGCGAGCGUUAUCCGGAAUGAUUGGGCGUAAAGGGUGCGUAGGUGGCAGAUCAAGUCUGGAGUAAAAGGUAUGGGCUCAACCCGUACUGGCUCUGGAAACUGAUCAGCUAGAGAACAGAAGAGGACGGCGGAACUCCAUGUGUAGCGGUAAAAUGCGUAGAUAUAUGGAAGAACACCGGUGGCGAAGGCGGCCGUCUGGUCUGGAUUCUGACACUGAAGCACGAAAGCGUGGGGAGCAAAUAGGAUUAGAUACCCUAGUAGUCCACGCCGUAAACGAUGAGAACUAGGUGUUGGGGGAAUAACUCAGUGCCGCAGUUAACGCAGUAAGUUCUCCGCCUGGGGAGUAUGCACGCAAGUGUGAAACUCAAAGGAAUUGACGGGGGCCCGCACAAGCGGUGGAGUAUGUGGUUUAAUUCGAAGCAACGCGAAGAACCUUACCAGGCCUUGACAUCCCUUGCAGAGGUAUAGAGAUAUAUCCGAGGUUAUCAAGGAGACAGGUGGUGCAUGGUUGUCGUCAGCUCGUGUCGUGAGAUGUUGGGUUAAGUCCCGCAACGAGCGCAACCCUUGUGAUAUGUUACUAACAUUGAGUUGAGGACUCAUAUCAGACUGCCGGUGAUAAACCGGAGGAAGGUGGGGAUGACGUCAAAUCAUCAUGCCCCUUAUGGCCUGGGCUACACACGUACUACAAUGGCGUCUACAAAGAGCGGCAAGCCUGUGAAGGCAAGCGAAUCUCAUAAAGGACGUCUCAGUUCGGAUUGAAGUCUGCAACCCGACUUCAUGAAGCUGGAAUCGCUAGUAAUCGCGAAUCAGCAUGUCGCGGUGAAUACGUUCUCGGGCCUUGUACACACCGCCCGUCAAACCAUGGGAGUUGGUAAUGCCCGAAGCCGGUGGCAUAACCCUUCGGGGAGUGAGCCGUCGAAGGCAGGACCGAUGACUGGGGUUAAGUCGUAACAAGGUAUCCCUACGGGAACGUGGGGAUG